Etheostoma spectabile (orangethroat darter) is the source of this 195-nucleotide long non-coding RNA. RefSeq lists it as uncharacterized. NCBI's taxonomy places the organism in Eukaryota, Metazoa, Chordata, Actinopteri, Perciformes, Percidae. The record is from RefSeq and is a predicted model, not a curated record. The transcript is spliced from 3 exons.
GGGAAAUUAGGAAUCAAUGCAAUCGACAUAACCAAUCACACAAUGACAGACGCUCCACUUAGCACCAACUGCAAUGUUUCAUUUUAAAUGAACGUAGCCUACUGGCAGUCUGGCACACGUGGGUGCUCCGUACCUUCCGUGGGUGCUCGAGCCCCAGAGCACCCACAGUAUCGGCGCCUAUGGGCCCUGCAGAAG